CGCGACCUGGGUACGACUUGUGCGUCCAUACAGCGACGAUAGAACAGCAUCGACACCGACGGCAAACUCUAUGCAGCGAAUACUUCACCGGAAUCGAGAAGCGGAAUGCGGUCGCCCUCCUAAGCCUACCCUUCGAUGUUUCCAUCAGCCAACAGGAAGAUAAUAAAGAGAAUCGCGGAACGGCGCGAAAAAAAA
Long non-coding RNA from Ixodes scapularis (black-legged tick), 195 nucleotides. RefSeq lists it as uncharacterized. The record is from RefSeq and is a predicted model, not a curated record. The transcript is spliced from 2 exons. Lineage: Eukaryota; Metazoa; Arthropoda; Arachnida; Ixodida; Ixodidae.